Molecule: ribosomal RNA, 474 nt
Filed under: uncultured Paracoccaceae bacterium
Lineage: Bacteria; Pseudomonadati; Pseudomonadota; Alphaproteobacteria; Rhodobacterales; Paracoccaceae
Description: bacterial SSU rRNA
Rfam family: Bacterial small subunit ribosomal RNA
Source: RNAcentral
UAGGGUUCGAUCAUGGCUCAGAACGAACGCUGGCGGCAGGCCUAACACAUGCAAGUCGAGCGCGCCUUUCGGGGUGAGCGGCGGACGGGUUAGUAACGCGUGGGAACGUACCCUUUUCUGCGGAAUAGCCUCUGGAAACGGAGAGUAAUACCGCAUACGCCCUUUGGGGGAAAGAUUUAUCGGAGAAGGAUCGGCCCGCGUUAGAUUAGAUAGUUGGUGGGGUAACGGCCUACCAAGUCUACGAUCUAUAGCUGGUUUUAGAGGAAGNAUAGCCACACUGGGACUGAGACACGGCCCAGACUCCUACGGGAGGCAGCAGUGGGGAAUCUUGGACAAUGGGCGCAAGCCUGAUCCAGCCAUGCCGCGUGAGUGAAGAAGGCCUUAGGGUCGUAAAGCUCUUUCGCCUGUGAUGAUAAUGACAGUAGCAGGUAAAGAAACCCCGGCUAACUCCGUGCCAGCCGCCGCGGUAAUACA